UACGUAGGAGGCAAGCGUUGUCCGGAUUUACUGGGCGUAAAGCGCGCGCAGGCGGCAGUGUAAGUAAGGUGUGAAAUCUCCCUGCUCAACGGGGAGGGUGCACUUUAGACUACACAGCUAGAGGUCGGUAGAGGGGGGUGGAAUUGCUGGUGUAGCGGUGAAAUGCGUAGAGAUCAGCAGGAACACCCGUGGCGAAGGCGGCCCCCUGGGCCGUACCUGACGCUGAGGCGCGAAGGCUAGGGGAG
This 245-nucleotide ribosomal RNA is filed under the name uncultured bacterium. RNAcentral describes it as "partial 16S ribosomal RNA". It matches the Rfam family "Bacterial small subunit ribosomal RNA", at positions 524 to 768 of the family's 1533-position model. The record is from RNAcentral.